This 590-nucleotide long non-coding RNA is filed under the name Parus major (Great Tit). RNAcentral describes it as "lncRNA (ENSPMJG00000010754.1)". The record is from RNAcentral. Lineage: Eukaryota; Metazoa; Chordata; Aves; Passeriformes; Paridae.
AGCACUACUACCGAGAACUAUAAUAAAUUGUGCAGAAGCUAUUCAAGAGAGAAAAAUAAACUACUGGAAUUAUUCCAAGAAACAACACAAAAUUGAACCUGUGUUUUCCUUCUUUUUCAGGUUUUUUGGUGCAACCUUUCAAUAAUUUUCUAGUGCAUUUUUAAGUAUUAUGGUAUUAUUAUAAUAUUUAUUAUUAUUUCCAGUAGUAUAUUUAUUAUGUUUUUAUAAUCUAUAACUUCCAUUUGAGGCUUUAUUGCUGUUAUCAUGGAAGCCAGAAGUGAACCUGUUCAACCCUAAGAAAGGAAACAGUUCAACCACACUCCUUAAAAGAGAAAUCCUGUGCAUGAGAACAAAGAUCUACAGGAAGGGCUGUUCUUUCAGGUUCCCAUCAUGGAAGUGAGCUAGGAAAAACAGGAGCACAGUUCAUCUGAACCACCUUUGACAACAACUUGACAACAGCAGGUAUCUUACCUGCUAAAAGAAGAGAUAAGAGAACUCCUCUCUGUUUAAUACAGUGAUCUCUAGAUUUACAGGUAAAGUGCUGCCAUCAAUAUGUUUUUCUUGUUUGAUUGUGCUUUUGUGGAGCAGGA